Molecule: long non-coding RNA, 956 nt
Organism: Hypanus sabinus (Atlantic stingray)
Lineage: Eukaryota; Metazoa; Chordata; Chondrichthyes; Myliobatiformes; Dasyatidae
Exons: 4
Source: RefSeq, a predicted model, not a curated record
GUGACUUCGGGUAAAUUGAAACUACAGAGCCCAGUUUCCAUUUCGCUGGCUGAAAAAAAGGCGGUGAAUGACAGGUGUGGAAGGAAUAGUGAAAUAUGUUUCUGAGUUGUUUUUAAUGCUGUCGCAAUAUCCUGCUGGACAUUAAGAAUUUAAGGUACUGCAGGUCUACUCCAUCAGUGAGUUGCUCAUUGGCGGAGAAACUGAAGGAGCUGGACUUUGAGCACACCAUGAUGCUGACUGUGACAGAGAGGCAUCAGUGCGUGAAGGAAGUGUGCAGUCUAACAAGCGGGAGAUCAAGUGUAUCCAGUAACAGUGUAAUUACAGCGAACGGAAGAGAUGAACACUAGCCGUCACACCAGACAUGAUCACAGUUGAUGGAAAAAGACCCACAGCAAACGAGAAGGCAGAGGACACUGACAGCUUGACAGAAACCUGUGAAUAGAAUGCUAAAGUGUGAUGAGCUAAGUCAAACUACACAUACUGGAAACCAGCAAUGUAUGUCGAUACAAGGAGGUAACAAUGAAGACACAGUGAUGGUUGAACCAAAAGCAAAGCCCUGACACUACAGUUUUGGAACACUAUGACCACUUUGAUGGUAUUUUUGGACUCUUUUUGUUUAAUUGUUCAAAGGUUCAUUUUAUUAUCAAAGUAUGUAUGCAGAAUACAACUCUGAGAUUCAUCUUCUCCAGGUAGUCACGAAAUACAGAAAAACCAUAGACGUCAUUGAAAGAAGACAUCAAAAGACAUCAACAUCCCCCCAUAUGAAAAAGAAAAAAAAACCAAAAACUUGUGAACCCCGAAUCCCCUCCCUUGACGGGAAAACUGACAUAAUUGCCCACAAGGAAAAUAACAGUGACCCCUCAAUCUCCUCUCACACACAAAAAAUUAACAGGUAGCCCACAUGGAGAAAGAGCAACAAGAACAUCAAACCCCAAACUGAUUGACAACAAGCAAGA